Molecule: non-coding RNA, 30 nt
Filed under: Mus musculus (house mouse)
Lineage: Eukaryota; Metazoa; Chordata; Mammalia; Rodentia; Muridae
Source: RNAcentral
UAGAGGGCAUUGGUAUCACUAGAUAACAAU